CAAGGUUAUCGUAGGUGAACCUGCGGUAGGAUCAUUA
This 37-nucleotide ribosomal RNA is filed under the name Halocafeteria seosinensis. RNAcentral describes it as "partial 18S ribosomal RNA". Lineage: Eukaryota; Bigyra; Bicosoecida. The record is from RNAcentral.